RNAcentral lists this transfer RNA (77 nucleotides) under Mycoplasmataceae bacterium CE_OT135. RNAcentral's name for it is "tRNA-Met". It matches the Rfam family "tRNA". Rfam says of the family: Transfer RNA (tRNA) molecules are approximately 80 nucleotides in length. Their secondary structure includes four short double-helical elements and three loops (D, anti-codon, and T loops). Further hydrogen bonds mediate the characteristic L-shaped molecular structure. tRNAs have two regions of fundamental functional importance: the anti-codon, which is responsible for specific mRNA codon recognition, and the 3' end, to which the tRNAs corresponding amino acid is attached (by aminoacyl-tRNA synthetases). tRNAs cope with the degeneracy of the genetic code in two manners: having more than one tRNA (with a specific anti-codon) for a particular amino acid; and 'wobble' base-pairing, i.e. permitting non-standard base-pairing at the 3rd anti-codon position. The record is from RNAcentral. Lineage: Bacteria; Bacillati; Mycoplasmatota; Mollicutes; Mycoplasmatales; Mycoplasmataceae.
GGCAGGAUAGCUCAGUUGGUUAGAGCAGACGACUCAUAUUCGUCAGGUCGGAGGUUCGAAUCCUCUUCCUGCUACCA